This 74-nucleotide transfer RNA is filed under the name Phycisphaerae bacterium. RNAcentral describes it as "tRNA-Val". It matches the Rfam family "tRNA". Rfam says of the family: Transfer RNA (tRNA) molecules are approximately 80 nucleotides in length. Their secondary structure includes four short double-helical elements and three loops (D, anti-codon, and T loops). RNAcentral also lists the same sequence under 3 other names. Lineage: Bacteria; Pseudomonadati; Planctomycetota; Phycisphaerae. The record is from RNAcentral.
GGGCGGUUAGCUCAGUUGGCUAGAGCGCUUCCCUUACAAGGAAGAAGUCACAGGUUCGAGUCCUGUACCGCCCA